RNAcentral lists this ribosomal RNA (322 nucleotides) under uncultured eukaryote. RNAcentral's name for it is "partial 18S ribosomal RNA". It matches the Rfam family "Eukaryotic small subunit ribosomal RNA", at positions 1470 to 1796 of the family's 1831-position model. The record is from RNAcentral.
CCCUUAGAUGUUCUGGGCCGCACGCGUGCUACACUGAGUGGAUCAGCGGGUCAGGCUGCGCGAAAGCGUUUCCUAAUCUUUAAAUCCGCUCGUGAUGGGGAUUGACGGUUGCAAUUUUCUGUCAUGAACGAGGAAUACCUUGUAAGCGCGGGUCAUCAUCCCGCGCUGAAUACGUCCCUGCCCUUUGUACACACCGCCCGUCGCCCCUACCGAUUGAGUGGUCCGGUGAGGCUUUGGGAUCUGAGCGGAAAGAGCGUUUCGCUGUUUCUGCUCGGAAAACUCAGUCGAACCUUAUCAUUUAGAGGAAGGAGAAGUCGUAACA